RNAcentral lists this ribosomal RNA (1394 nucleotides) under Limosilactobacillus fermentum. RNAcentral describes it as "bacterial SSU rRNA". It matches the Rfam family "Bacterial small subunit ribosomal RNA", at positions 64 to 1441 of the family's 1533-position model. Lineage: Bacteria; Bacillati; Bacillota; Bacilli; Lactobacillales; Lactobacillaceae. The record is from RNAcentral.
GUGCUUGCACCUGAUUGAUUUUGGUCGCCAACGAGUGGCGGACGGGUGAGUAACACGUAGGUAACCUGCCCAGAAGCGGGGGACAACAUUUGGAAACAGAUGCUAAUACCGCAUAACAGCGUUGUUCGCAUGAACAACGCUUAAAAGAUGGCUUCUCGCUAUCACUUCUGGAUGGACCUGCGGUGCAUUAGCUUGUUGGUGGGGUAACGGCCUACCAAGGCGAUGAUGCAUAGCCGAGUUGAGAGACUGAUCGGCCACAAUGGGACUGAGACACGGCCCAUACUCCUACGGGAGGCAGCAGUAGGGAAUCUUCCACAAUGGGCGCAAGCCUGAUGGAGCAACACCGCGUGAGUGAAGAAGGGUUUCGGCUCGUAAAGCUCUGUUGUUAAAGAAGAACACGUAUGAGAGUAACUGUUCAUACGUUGACGGUAUUUAACCAGAAAGUCACGGCUAACUACGUGCCAGCAGCCGCGGUAAUACGUAGGUGGCAAGCGUUAUCCGGAUUUAUUGGGCGUAAAGAGAGUGCAGGCGGUUUUCUAAGUCUGAUGUGAAAGCCUUCGGCUUAACCGGAGAAGUGCAUCGGAAACUGGAUAACUUGAGUGCAGAAGAGGGUAGUGGAACUCCAUGUGUAGCGGUGGAAUGCGUAGAUAUAUGGAAGAACACCAGUGGCGAAGGCGGCUACCUGGUCUGCAACUGACGCUGAGACUCGAAAGCAUGGGUAGCGAACAGGAUUAGAUACCCUGGUAGUCCAUGCCGUAAACGAUGAGUGCUAGGUGUUGGAGGGUUUCCGCCCUUCAGUGCCGGAGCUAACGCAUUAAGCACUCCGCCUGGGGAGUACGACCGCAAGGUUGAAACUCAAAGGAAUUGACGGGGGCCCGCACAAGCGGUGGAGCAUGUGGUUUAAUUCGAAGCUACGCGAAGAACCUUACCAGGUCUUGACAUCUUGCGCCAACCCUAGAGAUAGGGCGUUUCCUUCGGGAACGCAAUGACAGGUGGUGCAUGGUCGUCGUCAGCUCGUGUCGUGAGAUGUUGGGUUAAGUCCCGCAACGAGCGCAACCCUUGUUACUAGUUGCCAGCAUUAAGUUGGGCACUCUAGUGAGACUGCCGGUGACAAACCGGAGGAAGGUGGGGACGACGUCAGAUCAUCAUGCCCCUUAUGACCUGGGCUACACACGUGCUACAAUGGACGGUACAACGAGUCGCGAACUCGCGAGGGCAAGCAAAUCUCUUAAAACCGUUCUCAGUUCGGACUGCAGGCUGCAACUCGCCUGCACGAAGUCGGAAUCGCUAGUAAUCGCGGAUCAGCAUGCCGCGGUGAAUACGUUCCCGGGCCUUGUACACACCGCCCGUCACACCAUGAGAGUUUGUAACACCCAAAGUCGGUGGGGUAACCU